Molecule: ribosomal RNA, 434 nt
Filed under: uncultured Clostridiales Family XIV bacterium
Lineage: Bacteria; Bacillati; Bacillota; Clostridia; Eubacteriales; Clostridiales Family XIV. Incertae Sedis
Description: bacterial SSU rRNA
Rfam family: Bacterial small subunit ribosomal RNA
Source: RNAcentral
ACGGGAGGCAGCAGUGGGGAAUAUUGCACAAUGGGGGAAACCCUGAUGCAGCAACGCCGCGUGAGUGAUGAAGUAUUUCGGUAUGUAAAACUCUAUCAGCAGGGAAGAAGAUGACGGUACCUGACUAAGAAGCCCCGGCUAACUACGUGCCAGCAGCCGCGGUAAUACGUAGGGGGCAAGCGUUAUCCGGAUUUACUGGGUGUAAAGGGAGCGUAGACGGUAUGGCAAGUCUGAUGUGAAAACCCAGGGCUCAACCCUGGGACUGCAUUGGAAACUGUCAAACUAGAGUGCAGGAGAGGUAAGUGGAAUUCCUAGUGUAGCGGUGAAAUGCGUAGAUAUUAGGAGGAACACCAGUGGCGAAGGCGGCUUACUGGACUGUAACUGACGUUGAGGCUCGAAAGCGUGGGGAGCAAACAGGAUUAGAUACCCUGGUA